AGGGGCAUAGCUCAGUGGUAGAGUGCUUGCCUAACCUGUGCAAGACCCUGGAUUCAAUCCCCAGUGUGGCUG
Molecule: transfer RNA, 72 nt
Filed under: Fukomys damarensis (Damara mole-rat)
Lineage: Eukaryota; Metazoa; Chordata; Mammalia; Rodentia; Bathyergidae
Rfam family: tRNA
About the family: Transfer RNA (tRNA) molecules are approximately 80 nucleotides in length.
Source: Rfam by way of RNAcentral